CUGUAUUCACCCUCUCAAAUGUCAAAAUCAUGCCACACAAAUUUACUAAUACAAUCAAAAAUAAACAAAAAAAGUGCUAUACACUUACGUCCCUCUCAAAUUAGGGAGUGGGGCCUGCGACUAUUUUAAUUGCGGCCCGACCCCUUAAUGUGAGAGGGCUGUCAUAGUUGCUGUCAAAGCAACUAUACCUGUAUCAAGCUUGAAAUAAAUAUAUAGUAACUUGUAGGUUCUUCCAAAAAAAGCCCUUACUGCUAUCCUAUAAUUUAACAUAAUAAUGUUGAACGGAUGAUUCAUUUUCUUAACCACAAUAUUACUAAUAAAACAAAAAAAUCGAAAGAAAUCGUUUAACGCACUAAACAAAAUUCAAUUUUACGCAUAGCAAAAACAAAAAUAUAAAUUUUGGAUGGUGAUGCUACCAAAAGCCGUGUUUGUGGGUUUCUCGUGGAUGAGGACUAAGAAAGAGUAUGAACAAGUCCUUUUGGUAUCUGAAACAAAGGCAACGAGAUGUGUCCUCGUCGCCCCUCCGAUACUUAAGUCAUAGAUAAAAUUUAGACGAAAAUAUAUAU
Molecule: long non-coding RNA, 566 nt
Filed under: Olea europaea subsp. europaea
Lineage: Eukaryota; Viridiplantae; Streptophyta; Magnoliopsida; Lamiales; Oleaceae
Source: RNAcentral